RNAcentral lists this ribosomal RNA (113 nucleotides) under Gillisella terrae. Lineage: Bacteria; Pseudomonadati; Pseudomonadota; Alphaproteobacteria; Hyphomicrobiales; Rhizobiaceae. The record is from RNAcentral.
UGGUGGUCAUGGCGGGGUGGCUGCACCCGUUCCCAUUCCGAACACGGCCGUGAAACGCCCCUGCGCCAAUGGUACUUCGUCUUAAGACGCGGGAGAGUAGGUCGCUGCCAGGU